This 2811-nucleotide ribosomal RNA is filed under the name Triticum aestivum (bread wheat). RNAcentral's name for it is "partial small subunit ribosomal RNA". Lineage: Eukaryota; Viridiplantae; Streptophyta; Magnoliopsida; Poales; Poaceae. The record is from RNAcentral.
AUGAGAAGGUUCUUUCCAUUCCGCUCGUUCACAAGCAAUGCCGACAAACCAGCUCCAGCGCAUGAUAAAAGGAGUGAAAGCAAAUUGGAUGAGGGUGGGACUAAUGGUGCGUCCCAUUCCCCUGAUACUAGGGCACUCAGGUCAAGAAGGAGGCAUGGAAAUUUGAGGAGCGAGGAAUCGCCCAAUCCGCAGCUCAGGAGAUGCCUGUCGUUCACAUCCUCGGCAAUUGAUCGUUCCUUGGAUGAAAGGGCAAUGAGAUUUUCAGGCGAUAUCCCAUGGUUUAAUAAUUCUGACGUGCCUCGUCAUGUUUCUGAUAUUGAGUGCUACACAUGGUCACCAGAAAGACAUCCUAAUGUAGAGGAAUGCAUGAUAAAGGUUCCAAAAGCACAUGGCGUACAGGAAACUGAUUCACCACGUUCAAGAUGCUACUCAUGCUCAUCAACAGGACACUCUCCUCUUAGCUCUCCUGUUGCAUUGAAAUGCAGACCUGCCAGGUUGACCAAUUUACUGGACAAAAAUGGAGUGGUAGAUCUGUACAUUGAUGGGGAGCAAGAAGCAAACAUAUUAAAUGAGAAACAUAAGCAGAAAUUCCCCGUCAGAACUGCAGCUCCUCAUUCGGGAUGUGGAAGACCACCUCGACCUCAUUCUACAGCUCCAUCUUCACCAAAAUCUUGCAAAGAAAUAUAUGAGAACUACUCAAACAUAGACAAGACUUUGCAAGAUUUGGAGGAUGGAACUUUACCCCUAACCUACCACCAUCAACUUGCUCAGGAAGAGGCAAUGGGCACCUUGAAGGUGGGAUCUAUGUGUGAUUCAGAUGGAAAUGACACUAGUCUAUUUGAAGGAUCUUCUGAUAAUUUUUCUCACUCAGAGGAGUGCAAAUCACAUAGCGUGACUACACUGGAAGAUAUCUACGAGGACUCACGAGAUCUACAACCUCAAUGCUUCUAUGGAUUUUCAGUGAAUCCUCUUUUCGGGGCAACCUCAAGAUGCUCUGCUGCCGAUACUUAUCAUCAUGAUGGGUCUUGUGGUUUUCAUGACAAGAACUUGGAACAAGACACUGAUGAUAAGUUGCUUAGAAGAACUAAAGAAUUGGAUGCAUGCUUUAUGGUUCCUUCUGAAGAAAUGAGCGAGCUUAACAUGCUCAGGGAUAAGAGAUUGAACUCAACUGACAUUAUGCAGCUGGUUCUCAGCUUGAUUGAAGAUAGAAAGCAACUGGCGCUCGAACUAUCUUCACAGAUUAAGGCGCGUCUUACAGAAAGGUUUGCAGCCAAAGAACAAUAUAACCGGUCUAGGGUAGAAUUAGACUCUAGAACUAGAAGGCUGGAGAAUGAGAAGACUGAUGUGCAAACUACCUUGGAACGGGAGCUUGAUAGAAGGUCAAAUGAUUGGUCAGCCAGGCUAGCAAGAUUUCAAGCCGAAGAACAGAGACUACGGGAUAGAGUAAUGGAGCUAGCAGAGCAGAAUGUGUCAUUUCAGAGAGAAGUUAAUUUGCUUGAAUCAAAUCGAGUUGAAGUUUCUAACAGGAUUACAAGUUUGGAACUGCAAAACAAACAACUGAAUAAUGAGCUGGAGAAAGUUAAAGGUGAGCACACCAGUCUUUACAGAUCCUCAGUAGAGUUGCAUGAUAGCUUUACAAAAGCUGCAGAAGAAAGGGACCAAAUCCAAGAAUGCUUAAAAUCCAAGGAAGAUAACAGUAGGGCACUACACAAGGUGAUUGCAAGAUUACAAAGGGAAUCUAAUGAGCAGGAGAAAACAAUAAAUGGGCUGAGACAAGGAUUUAGUGCUGAAUUAGAAAAGAGAUCUGCCGGAAGUAGCGAAAGCAUCACAAGGACGCAAAUGGAACUUUUGAGACUUGCUGGAGUUGAGCAAAAGCUGAGAAAAGAAAUUCAGUCCUGUAACCUUGAAGUAGAGUCUCUUCAGCAAGAGAACAUAGGGAUUUUAAAUCGUCUAGAAAGUAGUGGGAAUGGAUUAAGUUUAUCCACGCUUCGUCUUGACCUCGAACUUCAUGCUAGAGUGGACAACUUGCAGAUGCAAGGCUUAUCAUUACUUGAAGAUAGUAGUUGUCUUUGUGGCAAGUUGUUGGACGUCAUGAAAUCCAAGAGUGAGAAUAUUGGCAGUAUUGAUGCACUAGCAGCCAUUGAAUACACUUUGAAGUACCAGAACAUAAGACAAGGAAUGGAUAAUUUAGCCCUUAGCCUGAGAAAAGUUAAGUCCGUGUUGGUUGAAAAGCACAACGAAGAAGACAGCACAGUGGGUGUUCCUGUGAGACAUGAUACAUUAUAUAGGGAUGACUUCGAAAUUAAGCUGAAAGAAGAAGCUUUACUCAACAGAGUAUUGAAGGAGAAGCUAUUGUCAAGGGAACUGGACAUUGAACAAUUGCAGGCAGAUGUAGCAUCUUUUGUCCGGACCCAAGAUGCCAUGGAAAAUGAGAUCCGUAGAGCUCAGGAUGAAUUAUGUCGCGCAAUCCACAAGUUCAAGCACUUUGAACUUCAGGUUUUGAAGAAAGACGAGAGCAUUAACCAGAUGCAACAGGAUUUUCAGGAAUCUGCAAAGGAGUUGACCACUCUCCGGUGCACCCUUAAAUCAGUAAGUGAUGAAAGGGAUGCCUUGUGGCAGGAAACAAAGCAUUUGCGGAAAACUGUUAGCGUGCUGCAAAACGAUGUUGCCUCAUUAAAGCAGAAAAUCAAAUCGCUCGACAAAGACAUACAGCUGAAGGAAGGCGAGAUACUGCUGCGUGAGGGUGAGAUUUCCAUAUUACAGGACAGCAUCGAUAGGCCACUCGACAUCAUCUGCAGUCCUCAUCAAUGA